RNAcentral lists this transfer RNA (77 nucleotides) under Burkholderiales bacterium. RNAcentral describes it as "tRNA-Arg". It matches the Rfam family "tRNA". From Rfam's summary of the family: Transfer RNA (tRNA) molecules are approximately 80 nucleotides in length. Lineage: Bacteria; Pseudomonadati; Pseudomonadota; Betaproteobacteria; Burkholderiales. The record is from RNAcentral.
CUGUCUAUAGCUCAGUUGGAUAGAGCACGAGCCUUCUAAGCUCGGGGUCGCAGGUUCGAUUCCUGCUGGACAGGCCA